CCUACGGGAGGCAGCAGUGGGGAAUAUUGGACAAUGGGGGCAACCCUGAUCCAGCAAUGCCGCGUGUGUGAAGAAGGCCUGAGGGUUGUAAAGCACUUUAGUUGGGGAGGAGAGUUGGCAGGUUAAGAGCUAGUCAACUGGACGUUACCCAAAGAAUAAGCACCGGCUAACUCCGUGCCAGCAGCCGCGGUAAU
Molecule: ribosomal RNA, 194 nt
Filed under: uncultured bacterium
Lineage: Bacteria
Description: partial 16S ribosomal RNA
Rfam family: Bacterial small subunit ribosomal RNA
Source: RNAcentral